AGAUGUUAAGUGGCACUAGUAGUGUUACAGUUCAUGAAGUUGUGAAAGACAAUGGUCAAGUAGUGGUUGCUAAAAAGAGUGCUUUGGAGACUCAGAGAGAAAUUACUGCGAUUUGGAAGAAGUUUGUGUUGGAUAGGAAGAAGCUGAAUGAUAAGAUGAAUGGUGUUUGCUAGAAUCAGCUUGGAAUGGAACAAGGGUGUGUCGUGUCUCUCUAUUUAUGCUUUUAUAGCUUCUUUUCUUGUUAAGGAAGUAAUUAAGUACAUUUUUAUUGAGUCAAGUCAUUUCUAUGAUUUUCAUGAUGAGUGGUUACAAGAAAAACAAAAUCAUGUUUAUACUUUAUAAGCAUGGCUUAAUUUAUUUAUGAAGAAUGAAUCAUUUAUCCUUUUGUGCAUUUUGUUCAAAUUAUGCUCAUAUCUUCUUUGUUUGCAAAACCAACAUAUACCACUGUCACUACACAUAAAUUAGAUUUGGAACAAUGAUAUAUGCUUAGUUCCAUGACUUUCCCAAGAUUAUCUGUAGCACUCAAUACCGGCAUCUUUCCUCAACAUGAUCUAGGCAAUUUCAUUUACAUAGAAAUGUUAAAUGUACUUCAUAAGCUAUGAACACUUGAGGUAUAGAUUGUAAAAACCCAAAACUUUUUCCAUCCAUUGGGCCUUAAAUUAUUUAUAUAGAAAUGUGCAUCAUAAGCUGCGAACACUUCAGGCUAAAGUGUAAAAACCCAAAACUUUUUCCGGCCAUUAAGUCUUAAUGGUCUGUUUAAUAGUCAGGAUAUGAAGACAUGAUAUGAUAAAAUACGAAAAAUAGAUAAACUAUUUAUUUGAACCUUGUAUGUUAUAUUGUCUGUUGUGUGGACUGUUUGGCAAUGUUGUUGAAUAUAAACACUUUAAACCGAAAUGAUGUCCAUAUAGGGAUGAAUAUAAACGUUUAUUUGAAGGGCAUGAUGAAAAUUUAAUUAAGGACAUCAUGACCUUCAAAUAAUCUAAGUGGAUAAAUAUGUUGAUCAAUGGUUUUUGUGACAAGUUAAUUAAGGGCAUCGUGAUCGUUAUUAACAUCUAAAGGUUGCUUAAUUAAAUGUGAGAUUAGUGUUAGUGGAUAUUGAUUUAUUAUAUAUCUAACGCGUUGUUGAUAUAGGAGGAGGCAAUAUUGGAUACUCACGUUCAAUCUUGUCCAUAAAAUUGACAAGAUAAAGAUUGUAUGUUCAACUUUUAUUAUUCCUGAAUCACUUUCAUGUUGAUUGGCAAUUAUUAUUUGUGAACUAUUUACUAAUCAUAUUAUUACAUGAAAAAUUAUUAUAUGCAUAUUUUUUUUGACAAAUUCAUUCAAAUUGAUAGAGUACAUCGAUAUAAUGCAAAUUUGCUAAAAAUAAAAAUGAUGAAUCUAUGAACAGGCUCACAACAUCCAUGUUAAUAGCAUAAAAUGACAAAAUACAAAUGCCUACACAUAUGACUAUAUUUAAAUCUCCAAAAUAAUCAUGUCUCCAGAUCUACAGCGUGGAUGACGCUAAAGCCAUUGAUUGGAUCUGCACUGGAUCAAAGCUGAUGACAAUCUGAACCGAUCAAAUACUUGAGAGAAACAAGAAAAACAAACAACGUCGCACAAAGACGACGAACAAACCAACGUCACACGAAGACGACGAAAUCACAAAAUAAAAAACAAAAUAGAUAUGAAAAUCACUUAUUUCAAUAAAAGGGAAAGAGAAAAACGAGUUAGAGGGAUGAUUUUGGCUAUUCUGCCACUGCUUCUCCUACUAUGCCAGUAAUAUACUCUAAACUCUAAAUUAUUUUCUUAAUCUUAGAUUAAUUGAAUUUAAUUGAGAUUUUAUGAUAAAGUUUAGUCUUAGAUUGAUCCUUCAGCAGAACACUAACUGAAAUGACAUCAAACUGUUAUAUUAUUGACUAAAUAAAAUAACUAAAUAAAAUAACUUUUUUCAAAAAGUUAAUUUCGUGACUGCAUCGUAGAAGUGCCAUUAGAAAAAUCCACCUUAUUCAAUCAAAGCAAUAUGUCUCGAGAUAUUUCCUACUCCGUAUUAUCAUCACUUACAAGAUAGAUCACAAUCACAACUAUACAAAUAUCAAAAUAGUAGAUACAAACUAUCACAUGCGGUUAAUUUACAAAUCAAAGCUCAAGAUCUCUCUCAAAGAAUACGAAUGAAAGUAUAGAGAAUUAAACGGAAAAAAUUAUUCUUACACAUUUAUUUGGUGUAUGAUCUUAUAAUUCAAAUGGAUUAUUUUUCUUUUUUUAGGAAAAGUUGCUUAUAGCAUUUUAUUAAAAUGAUCAAUAUCAAUAUCAAAAUAUAAAUAUAAAUAUGCAUAAAAACAACACUAUUUUCAUUUGAAACUUUUAACUAUAUAUGAUAACAACAUCACUUAAAAUUUGCAUCCGACCAUGGAGAUUUAGUUCUUUAGUCUAUACUAUUGUUCUUUAAAAACUAUUAAUAUGUGUUCAUUUUAAAUCACACCAUCAUUCACAUGAUAAACUAUUACUUUACGUAAUCAUAUUGACUUUAGGUAUAUGUAAUGAUCCUAAAUAGAGAAAGCCAUGUCAUCAAAUGAAGCUAGCAAAUUGGCAUAGCUGUAAGGACACGUGGGCAAGUAUUGGAUGAUAGAUGUACAUCAACAAGGAGUGAACAAGGCUUAUAUAAGGGAAAUAAGGCAUUGAAUAUGUUAAUGAAAUCCUUCUCUUAUUCUCUUUUCCCCUUUAUCCUUCUUUAUCUUUCAAUUUCACUUCUAUUAUGUACUUAAAAGAUUAUUGGGUUAAUAGGUCUUUAUCCCCUAUAAUAUAGGUCACUUUUGAUUUUGCCUUUGUAAAAAAAAAAAAUUCGAUUCGGUCCUUGCAAUUUUAUUUUUUUUUGGAAAACCCCCCUAGACCAGCUGACUGUGCAUUUUUGCUGAUAUGACAUGUUGUGUCAGCCUUUUUGGAUGACGUGGCGCGCUGACUGUAUAAUUAUUAUUAUUUUUUAAUUUUUUUAUGAGAUACACAUGGCAUUAAUGAUUAUUUUUAAAAAAGAAUAAAAAAAAUUCUUAAAAAAUUAAAAAAAACGAAAAAAUAUUAUAAAAAAAAUGAAAUAAAUUCUAGAAAAAUAAAAAUAUUAAUAAAAAUGAAAAAAAACGAAAAUAAUUAUGGAAAAAUUAAUAAAAAUCUGCUAAAUGAAAAAUAAUGAAAAAAUCUAGAAAAUUUCAUAAAAAAAUUCUGGAAUAAUUUAAAAAAUCUGGUAAAAUGAAAAAAAUAUAGAAAAUUUAAUAAAAUAAAAUCUGGAAAAAUUAAUAUAUUUCAAAAAAUUCAUAUUUUCAUAUUAUUUUCAAUAGAGGAAAAAUUUAAAAAUUAUGGAAAAAUAAAAAAAAUUCAUAUUUUUUUUUCCGAAAUUAAGAAGUUUUAUUUUAUAAAAAAACUAAAAAAUUCAGCAACUUAAAAUAUUUCAAAAUUUAAUCUAAUAAGAAUAGAAUUAAAAAUGAAAGUUCAAAUUUUUCUUUCGAAAUUAAAAAGUUUAUUUUUUUAUUUUUUAUACAGAAAAUCAAAAUAUUGGAGAGUAUAUUCAUAAUUAAAAAAACAUAACAUUAGAUCAUGAAGAAUAGAAUUUCGAUAUAUAUUAAUUUUUUUAUAUAAUUUUAAUUUAAUUCAGAUUUUUUUUAAUAAUUUUUUUGAAAAUUUUAAUAUAUAUUAAUUUUUUUUUAUUUUUCCAGAUUUUUUUUAUUAAAUUUUCUAGAUUUUACUAGAAUUUUUAAAUUUUUCCAGUUUUUUUUAUUUUUUCAUAAUUAUUUUCGUUUUUUAAUCAUUUUUAUUAAUAUUUUUAUUUUUCCAGAAUUUAUUUUAUUUUUAAAAAAAAUCAUAAAUGCCACUUGUACCCCAUAAAAAAAUAAAAAUAAUUAUACAGUCAGCGCGCCACUUCAUCCGAAAAAGGUGACGCAACAUGCCACAUCAGCAAAAAUGCACAGUCAGCUGGUCUAGGGGGGUUUUCCAAAACAAAAAAAUUUUACAAGGAUCGAAUCCAAAUUUUUUUUUUUACAGGAGGCAAAACCAAAAGUGACCUAUAUUACAGGGAGUAAAGGCCUAUUAACCCAGGAUUAUUUCUCUUGUGUUGCUUAGUUCUCUGAUCUAUUACAGUAUACAAGUUUUAUUUUAAAGUGGAAAAAUAGAUAAAUCACACUUUAGUGUAUAUCAUAAGAAAAAUUGUGAUUGGUUGGUUUAUAUAAUCAUGGAAAAAUCUACUAAAUUUAAGACAACACAUCAAAAUAAACAAUUAAUUUAAGACCUUCAUAAUUACUACAAUAGAUUUUUAUAAUUUUGUAGUGACGUGCUCGUUAUUUCAUAAUUUUUAAAGGCUAACAAAGCAUUCGAGGCUCUUUAAAAAAUUAAAAUGUAAGCAAAAUAAAAAUUAUAAGCGUGAAAAAAAUCAAAAGAGUAACAAUAUUAUUAUAUAAAUAAAAAAUUAUAGUCUUAGAAGUAAAACAAAAACUAUUUUAUACCUUAACAAUUAAAGCUAUUCAGAUAGACAAUAGAGUUAGAAAGAAAACAUGAUAUGCCUGAUAUACAAUAUCUUUAAAAUUACGACCAAAUUAGACGGUCUAAUUUUUUUUUUUGAAAGAAUCUAAAUAAUAUUUUUGUUUACUUAUUUGAUUGUAUUACCAUCAUAUUAGAGCACAAAGACAUAACUACAAUGUUAAAAAGAGAAAAUUCAAAUUAUUAGGUGUCAAUUCAAUAAUUAAAUGACAACUUAUGAAACACUCAUACAAGAUGUUUGUGCAUUCUCUUUCGUCUAAUACUAAAACAAUACUCAUGAGAGAAUAUAAUCUAUUGGAGCCUAUAUUUCAAUACACGUACAUCGAUUAUUUAUACACUUCGGUACAAGAAGAAUAGUUGGACACUUCACUGCUAUGCAAUCAUAAUCUAUUCUACAAAGUAACUUUGGUACAGCAAGACGUCGUGCUGUGAUGAAAUAAGAGACCAAAAGAAUGUAACUAAAUUGAGAUGAAGUGUUCUUUACAAAGUAAUUAGGGAAAUUUGAAAAGGAUAAAAAAUAAAUUACCUACAAUGUUUGUUGAAACAAAAAACAGGUAAACAAUAAAGAUAAUAACAUAUACUACAAACUUGGCAAUUUCACCCAUAUUCAUCCACCCUCCUUAUUCAUUUAACAAAUUGCUUUAUUACUUUAUAUAAUUUAUAAAGUUAAUCAUCUUCUUACAUCAAACAAAUAGUUUUUAGCGCUUUUGGAGUUGCAAAGAAAUAUAUCAUAAUAUUAAAAUCAUCAAUAAAUGUCUGUUAAAUACAUCAAUGUGAUAAGUUUUUUUCUUCUUCUUUUGCAUAUUUAAUAGAGCAGUCACAUAAAAAAUUUACCCGUCAUAAACUCUCAUUCUUUUUUAAACUAAUUUUUCAUUAUUAUUUUAUAGCCUAUCAUGACACGUAAAGGGAAAUCAUAAAAUAAUAAGUUAUUUGAUCAAUAACUAAUGCCAAAAUAAAAAAUAAUAAAAUGAAUCCACUUGAAUUAGCCUAGUGGUAUUAACUUGGGACCUUAGUGAGUACUCCUCCUCAAGGUCACAUGUUCGAUUCUCUUUAGUGUCAAUUUGGAUGGACUAAUUUAACUUCUUAAAACAAAUGUCAAAAUAAGUAUAUAUCGUCCAUAUUUCUGUUUGCAUCGAUAAAAAUAAUAAAAAAAGUGUAAAAUAAAAUUAUUUGAUCGAUAAAAAUGACAAAAAAUAUUAAGUAUUGAAAAAAAAACUAAAAUCCAACAUUUAGUAAGGAAAACACUUCAUUAGAGUUUAUAAACAGGGACAUCCAUCAUCUUACACAAAUCAACUUUGUAAAGAUGAGUUAGAUGAAGAAUUUUAAACAAAUAAUCAAAUUUAUAGAUAUGAAAUAUAGCAUGUUAUUAAUUAGUAUAUUGACAUAUAACCGUGUACCUUGUAUGGUUGAAGGAGAUCAUGAAGAAUUGGAAGUGACUUUUGAGAAUGGUUUUGAGAGCUCUUCUGCCGCCUUACUUAUCGAGCAUUCUUUCAGUUUACAGUGUGGCUAACAUAAUGGGAUAGUUAGCUUAUAUACUCAUCAGUGGAGACAGGGACCUCUCAAAUGGGCUGACUAACAAGAAUGGUCCAACCCAUCACGGUCCGUUCACAAUAAGCCCAAUAUAAAUACCAAGUACAAUAACAUUAAAUAUUUAAUAAUAUAUAAUACAUUUAUAUUUUAAUAAUUAAUUAAAGUAAAUUCAAAAUAUUCAACAUUAGAUUUAUAAAAAAACUAAUAUUUAGCGAAGAUUAAUAAUGAAAUAAGUUCAUGAAGAAUUUGAGAAAUACAAUGGUCAAGUAGUGUUUGGUAAAAAGAGUCUUUUGGAGACUCAGAGAGAAAUCAUUGCGAUUUGGAAGAAGUUUGUGUUGGAGAGGAAGAAAUUGAAUGAUAAGAUGAAUGGUGUUUGCUAGAAUUAGCUUGGAAUGGAACAAGGGUGUGCCGUGUCUCUCUAUUUAUGCUUUUAUAAUUUCUUUUCUUGUUAAGAAAGUAAUUAAAUACAUUUUUAUUGAGUCAAGUCAUUUCUAUGAUUCUCAUGAUGAGUGGUUACAAGAAAAACAAAAUCAUGUUUAUACUUUAU
RNAcentral lists this long non-coding RNA (6574 nucleotides) under Medicago truncatula (barrel medic). RNAcentral describes it as "long non-coding RNA (MTRU_LNC000803)". Lineage: Eukaryota; Viridiplantae; Streptophyta; Magnoliopsida; Fabales; Fabaceae. The record is from RNAcentral.